UACAGAGGUCCCAAGCGUUGUUCGGAUUCAUUGGGCGUAAAGGGUGCGUAGGUGGCGUCGUAAGUCGGGUGUGAAAUCUCGGGGCUUAACUCCGAAACUGCAUUCGAUACUGCGGUGCUUGAGGACUGGAGAGGAGACUGGAAUUUACGGUGUAGCAGUGAAAUGCGUAGAGAUCGUAAGGAAGACCAGUGGCGAAGGCGGGUCUCUGGAAAGUUCCUGACGCUGAGGCACGAAGGUCAGGGGAGCAAACGGG
This 253-nucleotide ribosomal RNA is filed under the name uncultured bacterium. RNAcentral's name for it is "partial 16S ribosomal RNA". It matches the Rfam family "Bacterial small subunit ribosomal RNA", at positions 524 to 776 of the family's 1533-position model. The record is from RNAcentral.